Molecule: long non-coding RNA, 1402 nt
Organism: Sardina pilchardus (European sardine)
Lineage: Eukaryota; Metazoa; Chordata; Actinopteri; Clupeiformes; Clupeidae
Exons: 3
Source: RefSeq, a predicted model, not a curated record
AUAUAUAGACCUGGACAGUGUGUCGUCCGUUGGAAUUGAAGCAACCGCUAGUCCAGAGCCCCCUGGUGGCUGGCUGCAGUACAAUUCGUAGCUCCGCCCAUCCCCAUGUAUUUCAAUGGCCAAGUAGCCAACUUUCCGUGUCACUUUUCUCACCUAAAACUAAUGUUAUAUUUACAACAUGUUAUUCGAAAAAAUUGUUUUCAAUGUGCUUCAAUACACACCAUUUUUCUUUUCUCUGUGAAAUUAUUUUUUUUAAAGUUAUUUCAACAACUCUAAAACGGGCGUUGAUUGACAGUGCGUGACCGCAGCGUCAGCCGCUUGCAGCCGUUCAGUCCGUGGAGUAGCUGUAGGCUCGGCUGUGGUGGUGUUCGUUCGUCAGGCAACUUAUCAUAUUUGUUUUAUUUGCUGUUAUUACACUUUAUACAUUGACAGUCAUGUCGUGCUGUGCUGUUGGUUGUACUAACGGGCCAUCCCAGAGAAGCUCUGUGCAGUUUUUUUUCGUUUUCCUUUAGGUGUGCAGCAUGCAGACAGACUGAGACGAUGGCUGGUGAACAUAAGACGACAAGACUGGGAGCCCAGCAAGUCAUCUCAUCUCUGUAGUCUUCAUUUUGAAGACCAUGAAUUCACCAUUUAUACCUAUGGGAAUCGUCUGACUUGCACUGCAGUACCAACUGUGUUCUCCCUUCCUGACCACCUGGUGAAGAGACCUGCUAGUAGAAAGGCAAGUGGUUAUUUUCUUAUCCUUUCUUUGUCAAGUGCUGCAAAUGAGAAGGAAUGUGAAAUGGUGGCUGUUAAUACAUCAGAUCAAAAUGUGGCUUGUCAGUAGUGAGCAGUUACAUUUUUGUGUCACCCAAGACAUUAAAACGAAAGAAUGAUGUCAUGGUUGAGAUUGUGGAGAAAUAUUAAAAGAGGAUGAGAAAGUAAGACGUGUAAAGUAAGUUUCAUGGCAUAACACAAACUUAGAACUUUUUUUAUAUGUUGUCUGUAAUGCUAUACAACUGUAAUACCUCCUGGAAGUUUUGAUUUUAUGUAUGUUUUUUCACAUGGCGGUGGUGGUGCAGGAAGGGGGUAUUUUGUCUUCCGCCUCCCUCCUGCACCACCACCGCCAUCACCAGAGCUGAAGGUCCACGCCACCAUCGCCAGAGCUGAAGGUCUACACCACCACCAUCACCAGAGCUGAAGGUCUACACCACCACCAUCACCAGAGCUGAAGGUCUACGCCACCAUCGCCAGAGCUGAAGGUCUACACCACCACCAUCACCAGAGCUGAAAGUCUACGCCACCAUCGACAGAGCUGAAGGUCUACAACGCUGCUGCCACCAGAGCUGAAAUCUCUCUAAGUUAAUGACUAACCCCCCCUCACCCCUUGGCAAACACAAUAAAACAUGGUCAUUUGUGGAUA